CUCUUUGCCCUUCUGGCCGGCGGCUGCCGGUUCUGACUCCGGCGGCACCACCGCCUUCUCAGUGGACUCUGGGGCCUAGAGCAAGUUCAAACAAAAUGCAUUUUUAGUGGCUGCAAGACAACGCUCAGUAGCAGUCAUCACGGGGAUUUCUUUGCUCACCUGGAAAUGUUCUGAUUCCCUCCGGAGCACGAAACUCCUGUGUGUCUCUUCCAUUGCUUUAUCCCCAGCAUCUCACCUGACACAUGAACCCAGGGAUGCUGGCAGGAAGCUGGAGGACAAGGUUACUGGAGCAUCCCACUUGAUUCAGACACUGGAAGCCAACCCAGGCUGGGAAUUUCUUGGGCUUUUUUUCAUGGAAACAUCAACUAAGGCUUUUAUAACUCAGAGGGCAAAUCUAACAGGAGCAGAGAAUGUCUGUUCCCACCCCCCAAAGUUAAACGAAGCAUUUGUCAUCUCCCAAUAGUACACACCAAUCUUCUCACGUGUGGAUCCAAA
Non-coding RNA from Delphinapterus leucas (beluga whale), 495 nucleotides. NCBI's taxonomy places the organism in Eukaryota, Metazoa, Chordata, Mammalia, Artiodactyla, Monodontidae. The record is from RefSeq and is a predicted model, not a curated record.